GUGGUAAUGGCUGCCCGUGGCUGGCGCCGGGCUGGGCUCGUUGGGGCAGCGUUAAACGUCUGGCAGGUGGACCCUCUGUGGUAAGGGAGCGGGUGAUCCCUUUACCUCACUCUUAGGCUAUCGACGGAGGUGCGUGUCCUGCGUGGCGGGCUCCGCUUUCUCCGUCCCAGCUUGGCCUCGGCUUCUCACAGUCCUCAGAUUCCUUCAGCCUGACAGCUCGGUGACUCCUUGUGUCCCUGCAGUGUCCAUGCACAGAGAUGAGCAGGAUCGCCGCUUGGUCCAUCACCCUGAUACGCCUGAGAAUCCCCGGGUCCUACGAGUGGUCCUCCCGGAAGCCGGAAUGCAGGGAAGUCAACACUCUCCAACCAGCUACUGGGCCAAAAGGUGUUCCCUGUUUCCAAGAAGUUGCAUACACUCGCUGCCACGCUCUGGGAGUCAGCGCAGAGGAGACCCAGGUGAUUCUACUUGACGUACCUGGCAUUAUCGGUCCUGUUAAACAGAAGAGGCACCACCUGGGGCUCCGUUUGUUGGAAGAUCCAUGGAAGAGCAUGGAGUCUGCUGAUCUUGCUGUGGUUCCUGUGGAUGUCUCUGACAAGUGGACUGGGAACCAGCUCAAACCCCAGUUGCUCAGGUGCUUGACCAAGUUCUCCUAGAUCCCUAGUAUCCUGAUCAUGAACAAGGUAGAUUGUCUGAAGCAGAAGUCAGUUCUCCUGGAGCUCAGGGCAGCCCUCCCUGAAGGUAUGGUCAAUGGCAAAAAGCUCAAGAUGAGGCAGGCCUUCCACUCACACCCUGGCACCCAUUGCCCCAGCCCAGCAGUUAAGGACCCAAACACACAAUCUGUGGGAAGCCCUCAGAGGACUGGCUGGCCCCACUUCCAGGCACUCUUCAUGUUGUCAGCCCUAAGGCAGGAGGAUGUGAAAACACUAAAGCAAUACCUCCUGGCACAGGGGGCCUAGCCAGGGCUCUGGGAGUACCACAGUGAAGUCCUUACUAACCAGACACCAGAAGAGAUCUGUGCCAACAUCGAGAGAAGCUCCUAGAGCACCUGUCCCAAGAGGUGCCUUACAAUGUGCAGCAGAAGACGGCAGUGUGGGAGGAAGGACCUAGUGGGGAGCUGGUUAUCCAACAGAAGCUUCUGGUGCCCAAAGAAUCUUAUGUGAGGUUCCUGAUUGGUCUAAAGGGCCACCUGAUCUCCCAGAUUGCUCAGGAGGUAGGCUGUGACUUCAUGAGCAUCUUCCUCUGUGCUGACAUCUGCCUCUCUGUGAAGCUCCUCAAGUGACCACCUUCUACGGACCCU
Non-coding RNA from Saimiri boliviensis boliviensis (Bolivian squirrel monkey), 1297 nucleotides. The record is from RefSeq and is a predicted model, not a curated record. Lineage: Eukaryota; Metazoa; Chordata; Mammalia; Primates; Cebidae.